UCGGAUUUGGGACUAAGGCCGCUGACUCUGCAUCCCUUACAAGCAUACACAGCUGCCUGCCCUUUUGCCUUGUGUCCAUCCUGGAACGGCCUUCUGCAAGAUUCUAUGUUACCUGUCCUCGGUCCACUUGGAAUCUCUUGAGAGAGCCGAGUCCUGUGUGUUCCUAGGCCCUGCCACAGAGACCUGGACGCCCUGCCUGUUGAGGCAAGGUUGUGGAUGUCCCGGGCCUUAUGGUCCCUGCUUCGCAUGAUGUGGGGCAGCAUCCAUCUGAACGCUCAUCACUACCAAGGCCAAGGUUUUGGAAGGAAGUCCUUCUUCUCCCAUCUUAGUAUUAGACCAUCGGAUUUGGGACACGGGACUAAGGCCGCUGACUCUGCAUCCCUUACAAGCAUACACAGCUGCCUGCCCUUUUGCCUUGUGUCCAUCCUGGAGCGGCCUUCUGCAAGAUUCUAUGUUACCUGUCCUCGGUCCACUUGGAAUCUCUUGAGAGAGCCGAGUCGUGUGUGUUCCUAGGCCCUGCCACAGGGACCUGGACGCCCUGCCUGUUGAGGCAAGGUUGUGGAUGUCCCGGGCCUUAUGGUUCCUGCUUCGCAUGAUGUGGGGCAGCAUCCAUCUGAACGCUCAUCACUAGCAAGGCCAAGGUUUUGGAAGGAAGUCCUUCUUCUCCCAUCUUAGUAUUAGACCAUCGGAUUUGGGACACGGGACUAAGGCCGCUGACUCUGCAUCCCUUACAAGCAUACACAGCUGCCUGCCCUUUUGCCUUGUGUCCAUCCUGGAGCGGCCUUCUGCAAGAUUCUAUGUUACCUGUCCUCGGUCCACUUGGAAUCUCUUGAGAGAGCCGAGUCGUGUGUGUUCCUAGGCCCUGCCACAGGUAGGUGGGUGUCCACAGAGGAUAC
Long non-coding RNA from Peromyscus eremicus (cactus mouse), 896 nucleotides. RefSeq lists it as uncharacterized. The record is from RefSeq and is a predicted model, not a curated record. Lineage: Eukaryota; Metazoa; Chordata; Mammalia; Rodentia; Cricetidae. The transcript is spliced from 6 exons.